UCCGUUAUGGUGUAGUGGCUAACAUUAUCGCCUCUCAUUGCAUGGGCAAUCUACCAUUGAUAAAUUUGCGAGCGCGAUAGCCCAGGGUUCGAUUCCCUGUAACGGAA
RNAcentral lists this transfer RNA (107 nucleotides) under Marasmius sp. AFHP31. Its description in RNAcentral is "tRNA-Glu". It matches the Rfam family "tRNA". From Rfam's summary of the family: Transfer RNA (tRNA) molecules are approximately 80 nucleotides in length. Lineage: Eukaryota; Fungi; Basidiomycota; Agaricomycetes; Agaricales; Marasmiaceae. The record is from RNAcentral.